UAGAGUUUGAUCCUGGCUCAGGACGAACGCUUGCGGCGUGUCUAACACAUGCAAGUCGAGCGAAUGAUGUUCCUUCGGGAAUGGAUUUAGCGGCGGAGGGGAGAGUAACACGUGCGCCCCCUGCCUCAUAGAGGGAAAUACCCUUCAGAAAGGGAUAUUAAUACCACAUAAGAUUGUACUACCGCGUGGUACAGCAAAUAAGGGAGCCAUCCGCUAUGAGAUGGGCCCGCGCCUCAUUAUCUAGUUGGGGAGGUAACGGCUCACCAAGGCGACAAUGCGUACCCCACCUGAGAGGGUGAUCGGCCACAUUGGGACUGAGACACGGCCCACACUCCUACGGGAGGCAGCAGCGGGGAAUAUUGCACAAUGGGGGAAACCCUGAUGCAGCAACGCCGCGUGAGUGAUGACGGCCUUCGGGUUGUAAAGCUCUGUCUUCAGGGACGAUAAUGACGGUACCUGAGGAGGAAGCCACGGCUAACUACGUGCCAGCAGCCGCGGUAAUACGUAGGUGGCGAGCGUUGUCCGGAUUUACUGGGCGUAAAGGGAGCGUAGGCGGAUUUUUAAGUGAGAUGUGAAAUACUCGGGCUUAACCUGAGUGCUGCAUUUCAAACUGGAAGUCUAGAGCGCAGGAGAGGAGAAGGGAAUUCGUAGUGUAGCGGUGAAAUGUGUAGAGAUUAGGAAGAACACCAGUGGAGAAGGCGCUUCUGUGGACUGUAACUGACGGUGAGGCACGAAAGCGUGCGGAGCAAACAGGAUUAGAUACCCUGGUAGUCCACGCAGUAAACGAUGAGUACUAAGUGUCGGGAGAACCCGGUGCUGCAGUUAACGCAUUAAGUACUCCGCCUGAGUAGUACGUGCGCAAGCAUAAAACUCAAAGGAAUUGGCGGGACCUCCCACAAGCGGUGGAUCAUGUUGUUUAAUUCGACGAUACGCGAAGAACCUUACCGGGCCCUGACAUACCGAGCGAUGCUAUGGAGACAUACCCGAGGUUAACUGGGAUACAGGUGGUGCAUGGUUGUCGUCAGCUCGUGUCGUGAGAUGUUGGGUUAAGUCCCGCAACGAGCGCAACUCUUAUCGCUAAUUGCCCUCCUUAAGUUGGGGACUCUAGCGAGACCGCCAGUGACAAACUGGAGGAAGGUGAGAAUGACGUCAAAUCAUCAUGCCCCUUAUGUCCUGGGCUACAAACGUGAUACAAUGGCUGGUACAAAGGGAGGCAACGCCGUGAGGCCAAGCGAACCCCACAAAACCAAUCUCAGUUCGGAUUGAAGUCUGCAACUCGACUUCAUGAAGUCGGAAUCGCUAGUAAUCGUAGAUCAGCACGGUACGGUGAAUACGUUCUCGAGCUUUGCACACACCGCCCGUCA
This 1364-nucleotide ribosomal RNA is filed under the name uncultured bacterium. Its description in RNAcentral is "partial 16S ribosomal RNA". It matches the Rfam family "Bacterial small subunit ribosomal RNA". The record is from RNAcentral.